This is a long non-coding RNA of Xenopus tropicalis (tropical clawed frog), 604 nucleotides long. RefSeq lists it as uncharacterized. The record is from RefSeq and is a predicted model, not a curated record. NCBI's taxonomy places the organism in Eukaryota, Metazoa, Chordata, Amphibia, Anura, Pipidae. The transcript is spliced from 2 exons.
CUCAGCCUUCUCCUCACUCCCUCCCAACAUGGGUCAGUUACCUGCUACACUGGGACAACAGCUGGGGCGCCCUCUGCUGUCAACAGGGGCUUCGAUUCCAGCCAUAUGUCUGACACGUCUAUAACAAGAAACAUAUUGAAACAAUUACCCUAUGUAACAGAGGAAGGAGGGCUCAAUGAAGAAAAAAAAUGCCAGUGACCCCGACCUCAACUGACCCCUCACUCUGCCUUUGUGCUGGGAUUGGCAAUUUUUGUGGAAGUAUUAUGAAAUGUGUGUUGUUUUAUAAAUGAUAGGACACACUGUAAUACAUAGCUUGCAUACAUAUAAAGAGUGGCUAUAAUGUUAUUGCAAAACCUGUACUGCACCUUACUGUUCCCACAACAUAUAUUUAUAAGUUAUACAAAAGGCAAAUUGAAUUUUAUAGGUGGAUGCCCUAAAGUAAUUGUUUCACUACAACUCCCAGAAUCACCUGCCAGCUCAUUUGGCAUGUAUGUUUCAAAUUACUGAGUCUUUCUGCUAAUUAACUUGAUCGUUGAGCUCAAAAAAGCAAGUUAUAUGUGGCUUUGUUCAUGUUUUUCUCAUAAAUAACAAAGAAAUUAAAUUC